RNAcentral lists this non-coding RNA (29 nucleotides) under Homo sapiens (human). The record is from RNAcentral. Lineage: Eukaryota; Metazoa; Chordata; Mammalia; Primates; Hominidae.
UCUUGAACACAAUGAGCCAGGAGCUGGUC